Folsomia candida is the source of this 327-nucleotide long non-coding RNA. RefSeq lists it as uncharacterized. The record is from RefSeq and is a predicted model, not a curated record. Lineage: Eukaryota; Metazoa; Arthropoda; Collembola; Entomobryomorpha; Isotomidae. The transcript has 3 exons.
AAUCUUUGAAAACCAAAUAUGGAGUGGAAAUGGACCAAUAAUAAUAAGGAUGGCAAAUAUAUCACACUUUUUGAACACCACAUUAUGUCCGCAGCAUUAAUUAAUCAAGAUUGGAAUUGGAAGCUAAUGGUGAAAAAUCGUGACAAAAUCUUCUUGAUGGAUCAGUCUUGAUGGAUACAAAAACCAGUCCCACCACCAUUCUAAAAUUAACACCGACGUCGAAAGUCUCCCCUCUCCACUUAAUUUUGGAAGACACGCCGAAAAAACGAUUCGACACCAUCGGCGACUACGCCGCAGCAAGGAAAUAAUAAACUGCAACAACUCAGA